UAAAUGGGCUAGCUACAGAGCGUUCAACUUCAGAUAUACAGUGCGCCUUCAUAUCUUCCCUUCUUAGGAAGGGGGCAGUCAGAUUACCGGAUACAGAUUUCUACCCCUAGUGGGUUCACAGACUAACCUUUAAUUCCUGGACCUGGGCUCACACUCAUCGACGGGACACCCCGGUACUCACUGCGCAGAAGCCGAUGAUCUCCUGGACAACAGGCCAGUGGCGCAGAGACGAAAG
Molecule: non-coding RNA, 235 nt
Organism: Pelobates cultripes (western spadefoot toad)
Lineage: Eukaryota; Metazoa; Chordata; Amphibia; Anura; Pelobatidae
Source: the annotation of a GenBank genome assembly